UUCUGUUAUGAUGAACAAAUCGAAUUGUUUCUCCUGAGAUGCUAUAUGAGGGAAAUGUUUGGAGACCUGAACUGAAGGGGA
Molecule: small nucleolar RNA, 81 nt
Organism: Cryptomeria japonica (Japanese cedar)
Lineage: Eukaryota; Viridiplantae; Streptophyta; Pinopsida; Cupressales; Cupressaceae
Product: small nucleolar RNA Z159/U59
Exons: 1
Source: RefSeq, a predicted model, not a curated record